AUGGCCCCUACGUCCCGCCGGGCUACACCGUUGCUCCUGUCUAUGGAGCAUCUCCAGGGCACACCGCGCCGCCCGGUGCCACCGGCCCUGCCGCGCCCACCCAACCAUGGGACAUGGCCUCUCUGUAGGCUGCUCUACACAGCGCCACCGCGGGACCUUCAUCAUCUGGCAGCACCUCUAACUGGUAUCUGGACUCCAACGCGGCGUCGCACAUGUCCAACUCCUCUGGACCUCAGGACAAGGACGGUGAUUCUGCGAUGUAACUCCACCGGCGACCUGUACCCCGUGGCAUCUAGUCCGUCAUCUGCACUUCCGUUCACCGGCUCGGUCACCACCGAUUUGCUCCAUCAGCGUCUUGGGCACCCCGGUGUUGCUUCAGUUUAG
Molecule: ribosomal RNA, 384 nt
Filed under: Triticum aestivum (bread wheat)
Lineage: Eukaryota; Viridiplantae; Streptophyta; Magnoliopsida; Poales; Poaceae
Description: partial small subunit ribosomal RNA
Source: RNAcentral